GCUAUGGCAGCAACAGGAGACUAAUACACCUUGGCAGCCCUAUUUGCAUCACCUUGCGGGUACUGGGGUUUGGAGGAAUUGGCUCAGAUGCUGAUACCGUGGCUACUACUAUUGUGUCAGAAACGUGACUGAAACAUUUCUUCCUCUUAAGAGGCAUUAAGAGAAAAGGAUAGAUUUCCUGUUUCUUUUGCAAUUUUCCUCUUUAAGAAACAGAAAGAAAAAAAGAUCUUAUGUCCAUGCUCCUGGAAGUCACCAAUAAAUAAUACGGGCCAGGGCUUUUUCUUUUCAGCAGUGGGCUGAUUAAAUCCUUAUACUUGUUCUGGGUUAUAUGUCUGAAAUUUGUGUUCCUUUUGUUCUGAGGAGUACAAAAUAAUCAAUUCCUCUAAUGGAGAUUACCAGCUUGAUUAAUAGAUAAUCCUAAUGUGUUCUUUGUAAAAUACAUUAUAAAUGAUCUUUAAAGUUGAAGGAAAGAAGAUUGGGCCAUGUAGAAAUUUGGUUCUCAACAGAACCUCUUCUUGAUUGAAGAAAUAUAAGCAAAGAGUUUUAUAUAUUUCGGUAAGGGUAGGUAGUCUAUGCAUUUUCUGUUCUGAGUAUUACAAAAGGAAAAGGGAAUAAAAGCUUCUGCAUAUAGCAGAGAUAAACUCCAAAAGCAGGAGACCAGUGAAGCCCUGGAUCACUGCACUCCUCCAGCCUUCAAGGAGCAUGAAGAGGGUCCACAUAACAACAGAAGAUGCUUCAGAACAAAUUAUGAGUCCAUAAGAGAUAAAUUAGUGUCUUUAUUCAUUGCAAAGGAAUGGUUAUUAUAAAAAAAUCCCUGAUGCUGUCUCUCAGACUGAACUUACGUAUAGGCAGG
This 853-nucleotide long non-coding RNA is filed under the name Homo sapiens (human). Its description in RNAcentral is "non-protein coding lnc-PLEKHA5-3:2". The record is from RNAcentral. Lineage: Eukaryota; Metazoa; Chordata; Mammalia; Primates; Hominidae.